CGAUGCCUUCCUGGGAUCCUCGUGUCAGAGGGGGUGCUCUGGCUAGCAGAAAUGUAUAGUUAGCUGUUAGGAAGAUUUCUGACCAUUAAUCCCAGGAUCAAUGAAUUGACAUUGUGGCUAAUACAGAAGUUUUUGCUUUGCUUUCUGUUUUUUGUAUCACUCAAACUGACAACUUUGGGAGCACUGGCAAAAUUCAGUUCCUGGCCCUGGAAAGCUGGUGCACAGACCUUGGCUGUGGUGACCCUAACAAGGGAUCGUCACACUAUGCAUUGCCUUCUGGCCAGUUCAGGCCCCAGAUGGGAUGUGUUGGUAAAAGGAAUACAGCAGGCCUCACCCAGUGCGGAAGCUACUCUCUUGGAUCAUCCCAACAUCCUGGACAAGCCUUGGCCUUCCCCUGAAGUCCAGAGGAGCAUGAGUGUUUGCAUAAAGCUGGGCUCGGUACCUUCUCUCAGAGGAAGUUUUCCCUUUUUUGUGGAGGGAGAUGGCAAUCUUUGCCAAUCUGUUCCAGCCAAUGAUCAACAGAGACGUGCUUUUCUCGCAUCUGGCUUUGACGAUGUAAUGGAAUGCAGGGCGUCCAUUUCUCCUUUCUUCGUGCUUAUCACGCCGCCCUGGUCCUUGCGCUGAAACAGCCAUUCUGCCUUGUAUGGCUUGGCUGUCUUUCCAGUGCUGCCCUUAUUCUGAGUAUUUUCUGUUGCACUUUGCUGGAAUCGUAUAUAUGCAGUAAAAUCACCGAACCGAGGAAGAUCUGCUUGCCUGGGGGUCCCACAAGGCAAGCAGCAUCCAGAGGAGCAACUCAUCAUGGAUGCGGUGAUGUCUCAGUCACACUGUGACUGUGCGCCCCGGUUCAAUCAACUCCGCCGCAGACGUAAUUCACUGUGGAUCCCUUUCGUUUCGCUUAUCGUCAGAAUGAAUACACACAGGAACCCCUUUAGCCCCCACCGUUUGUCAUCGGCUGCCACGUUAAACAUUGAUUUUAUUUUCCCAGGUCAGAAAUGAUGAAAUCAAUAUCUAACACGGCCAGUUGUAUUUGCUCGUACCUUUUCAUUCAGAUUCCCUGACAAAUUUUAAACAUUUUACACUGCAUUUAAUUUAAGGAUUAAGUCUGUAAGCUUGUAGAUUUAAAUGUCAGUAAAGGUUAAGAAUUAAUUGUACAUGAAACUGACUACAUUAAAUUUUAAAGCGAGAGUAGUUAUUAUUAAACACACGUGGAGGUAUUGCGUUAUUUUAUUGUUAUGAUCCAUUCAUUAGUUCAUUUGCCCAUUAUUCAUUUGGCAUACAUUAAUGCAGCAUUUGGUAUUUUUCAGAGA
Molecule: long non-coding RNA, 1307 nt
Organism: Equus caballus (horse)
Lineage: Eukaryota; Metazoa; Chordata; Mammalia; Perissodactyla; Equidae
Source: Ensembl